GACGAACGCUGGCGGCGUGCUUAAUGAAUGCGAGUCGAGCGAGAACCGGACUGAGGAAACCUUCGGGUGGAAUCAGUCUGGGGAGAGCGGCAAACGGGUGAGUAACACGUGGGUAGCCUGCCCCUCAGACGGGGAUAAUUCGCCGAAAGGCGGACUAAUACCCGAUGGUGAUGUGCCAACACAUGUUGAUACAUCUAAAGGCUCCGGUGCUGAGGGAGGGGUCCGCGGCCGAUUAGCUUGUUGGUAGGGUAACGGCCUACCAAGGCUUCGAUCGGUAGCCGGUCUGAGAGGAUGACCGGUCACACUGGGACUGAGACAUGGUCCAGACUCCUACGGGAGUUAGCAUCAGGGAAUCUUGCGCAAUGGGCGAAAGCCUGACGCAGCGACGCCGCGUGGGUGAUGAAGGCCUGCGGGUCGUAAAGCCCUGUCGGGAGGGAAGAAACAGCACCUUCGGGUGCUUUGACUGUACCUCCGGAGGAAGCCCCGGCUAAUUACGUGCCAGCAGCCGCGGUAAUACGUAAGGGGCCAGCGUUGUCCGGAAUUACUGGGCGUAAAGAGCACGUAGGCGGUUAGGAAAGCGAUAGGUGAAAUCCCCCGGCUCAACCGAGGAACUGCUUAUCGAACUGCCUGACUAGAGCACGGGAGAGGGCACUGGAAUUCCUGGUGUAGCGGUGGAAUGCGUAUAUAUCAGGAGGAACACCGGUGGCGAAGGCUGGUGCCUGGAACGUUGCUGACGCUAAGGUGCGAAAGCCAGGGGAACAAACGGGAUUAGAUACCCCGGUAGUCCUGGCCGUAAACGAUGGACACUAGGUGUUGGAGGUUCGACCCCUUCAGUGCUGUUAAGCUAACGCGUUAAGUGUCCCGCCUGGGGAGUACGGUCGCAAGGCUGAAACUCAAAGGAAUUGACGGGGGCCCGCACGAGCGGUGGAGCAUGUGGGUCAAUGGGAUGAUACGCCGAGAACCUUACCAGGGCUUGACAUGACCCUGAUCCCCUGCGAAAGCAGGUCUUCUGGGCAACCAGACAGGGCCACAGGUGGUGCAUGGUUGUCGACAGCUCGUGUCGUGAGAUGUUGGGUUAAGUCCCGCAACGAGCGCAACCCUCGCCGGAUGUUGCCAGCGGUUAGGCCGGGCACUCUUCCGGGACUGCCGGAGUAAUCCGGAGGAAGGGGGGGAUGACGUCAAAUCUGCAUGCCCCUUAUGUCCUGGGCUGCACACGUGCUACAAUGGCGAGUACAAAGGGUCGCGAAGCCGCGAGGCCCAGCUAAUCCCCAAAAACUCGUCCCAGUUCGGAUUGGAGUCUGCAACUCGACUCCAUGAAGUCGGAAUCGCUAGUAACCGUGGAUCAGCAAUGCCGCGGUGAAUACGUUCCCGGGCCUUGUACACACCGCCCGUCAAGUCGCGGAAGCCGACAGCACCCCAAGUCCGCUACGGCGGCCCAAGGUGAGGUCAGUGACUGGG
This 1458-nucleotide ribosomal RNA is filed under the name uncultured bacterium. RNAcentral's name for it is "16S ribosomal RNA". It matches the Rfam family "Bacterial small subunit ribosomal RNA". The record is from RNAcentral.